AUUCAUUCCUCUCAGUAGGGACAUUCAUUCAGAGCUCGUCUAUUUCUGUUAGACAAUCUUUGUUAUUGACUUUAAUUUUGUGUCAGAAAUUAUUUUUUUAUUAUUUUCAUUCUUCAAUUCUUUUUCUGUUUUUCUUUUUUUAUAUUAGUGAUCCUCUUUGAGCCUGAAGGUAUUGAUUUAAAGCUGACAGAACUCCUCCACUUCUCCUUUUUUUCUCUAGGAAGUAAGGCACAUGACCAUCUGCAGCUGAUGUAAGAGUUUCUCUUUGUGCAAAGUUCAGGCACCCACUGCAGAUUAGUCACUGGCAGAUUAGAGGUAAGGUCCUAACACACAUGCCUCAACCGGCAACUCACUGAGCGCUAUGUGAUGGAAAGAGGGGUGGAACAUCUCACCGCAGCUGGACUGUCACGCCAAGCUCAGAGCAAAUAAGGAAUGCCUCCUACCAAGCAGCAGGAAGCUGGUGGAGAUAUGGAGAGGAUCAAUAAGGAGACCGGGGAGCUGAGCGCCUCUGGGGAGAUUGCAGAGAGCACAGAACUGAAGACAGACAAAGCCCAGACUGAGCCUAGCACACAGGAGGACACACACACUGACGCAAACGCAGUCACGGCUCUCCAGCAGCAGCUCUUACAGCUCAGCCAGGCCGCGGCUGAUCAGAGAGAGCAUGAGCUUGAUCUGCUUCUGCCUCUGUUUAUUCAGGUGUCUGAAAGCAACAGCGCUGUUGAGGACUUGGACCUGAAGGAUUUGGCCUGUCAGAUUGGAGAGACGCUGGUGUGUCACAUACAGCAGAGAGUUGCAGGAAGACCUGCAGGUACACCCAUGUUCCUUGUUUAGUCAAGCAUAUGUGGGAGUAAGUGGGCUUGAUUUU
RNAcentral lists this long non-coding RNA (865 nucleotides) under Astyanax mexicanus (Mexican tetra). RNAcentral's name for it is "lncRNA (ENSAMXG00005022932.1)". Lineage: Eukaryota; Metazoa; Chordata; Actinopteri; Characiformes; Acestrorhamphidae. The record is from RNAcentral.